AGAGUUUGAUCCCGGCUCAGAUUGAACGCUGGCGGCGUGCUUAACACAUGCAAGUCGUGCGAGAAAGGGGACUUCGGUCCCUGAGUAGAGCGGCGCACGGGUGAGUAACGCGUGGAUAAUCUACCCAGAUGUUCAGGAUAACGGUGGGAAACUGCCGCUAAUACUGGAUACGCUCCAAUUUCGAUUGGGGGAAAGGCGGCCUCUGCUUGCAAGCUGUCGCAUCUGGAUGAGUCCGCGUCCCAUUAGCUUGUUGGCGGGGUAACGGCCCACCAAGGCUACGAUGGGUAACUGGUCUGAGAGGAUGAUCAGUCACACUGGAACUGAAACACGGUCCAGACUCCUACGGGAGGCAGCAGUGGGGAAUAUUGCGCAAUGGGGGAAACCCUGACGCAGCGGCGCCGUGUGAGGGAAGAAGGCUUUCGGGUCGUAAA
This 431-nucleotide ribosomal RNA is filed under the name uncultured bacterium. RNAcentral describes it as "bacterial SSU rRNA". It matches the Rfam family "Bacterial small subunit ribosomal RNA", at positions 8 to 429 of the family's 1533-position model. The record is from RNAcentral.